RNAcentral lists this ribosomal RNA (384 nucleotides) under uncultured prokaryote. RNAcentral describes it as "bacterial SSU rRNA". It matches the Rfam family "Archaeal small subunit ribosomal RNA", at positions 341 to 725 of the family's 1478-position model. The record is from RNAcentral.
GCGAAAACUUUACAAUGCUGGCAACGGCGAUAAGGGGACCUCGAGUGCCAGGUUACAAAUCUGGCUGUCGUGAUGCCUAAAAAACAUUGCAUAGCAAGGGCCGGGCAAGACCGGUGCCAGCCGCCGCGGUAACACCGGCGGCUCGAGUGGUAACCGUUAUUAUUGGGUCUAAAGGGUCUGUAGCCGGCCGGAUAAGUCUCUUGGGAAAUCCAGCAGCUUAACUGUUGGGCUUUCAGGAGGGACUGUCUGGCUCGAGGCCGGGAGAGGUGAGAGGUACUUCAGGGGUAGGGGUGAAAUCUUGUAAUCCUUGAAGGACCACCAGUGGCGAAGGCGUCUCACCAGAACGGACCUGACGGCAAGGGACGAAAGCUAGGGGCACGAACC